CAGCAGCCACGGUAAUACGAAGGGGGCUAGCGUUGUUCGGAAUUACUGGGCGUAAAGCGCACGUAGGCGGAUACUUAAGUCAGGGGUGAAAUCCCGGGGCUCAACCCCGGAACUGCCUUUGAUACUGGGUAUCUCGAGUCCGGAAGAGGUGAGUGGAAUUCCGAGUGUAGAGGUGAAAUUCGUAGAUAUUCGGAGGAACACCAGUGGCGAAGGCGGCUCACUGGUCCGGUACUGACGCUGAGGUGCGAAAGCGUGGGGAGCAAACAAGAUUAGAUACCCCCGUAGUCCCUGUCUCUUAUAC
This 301-nucleotide ribosomal RNA is filed under the name uncultured bacterium. RNAcentral's name for it is "partial 16S ribosomal RNA". It matches the Rfam family "Bacterial small subunit ribosomal RNA", at positions 509 to 807 of the family's 1533-position model. The record is from RNAcentral.